RNAcentral lists this ribosomal RNA (1272 nucleotides) under metagenome. RNAcentral describes it as "bacterial LSU rRNA". It matches the Rfam family "Bacterial large subunit ribosomal RNA", at positions 1651 to 2899 of the family's 2925-position model. The record is from RNAcentral.
AAACCGACACAGGUGGGCGAGGAGAGUAUCCUCAGGCGCUGGAGAGAACUCGGGUGAAGGAACUCGGCAAACUAGCACCGUAACUUCGGGAGAAGGUGCGCCCGUGGUACGUGAAGCCCCUCGCGGGUGGAGCGGACGCGGGCCGCAGUGACCAGGUGGCUGCGACUGCUUACUAAAAACACAGCACUCUGCCAACACGAAAGUGGACGUAUAGGGUGUGACGCCUGCCCGGUGCCGGAAGGUUAAUUGAUGGGGUCAGCCGCAAGGCAAAGCUCUUGAUCGAAGCCCCGGUAAACGGCGGCCGUAACAAUAACGGUCCUAAGGUAGCGAAAUUCCUUGUCGGGUAAGUUCCGACCUGCACGAAUGGCGUAACGAUAGCCACACUGUCUCCACCCGAGACUCCGUGAAAUUGAACUCGCUGUUAAGAUGCAGCGUACCCGCGGCAAGACGGAAAGACCCCGUGAACCUUUACUACAGCUUUGCACUGGAUUUUGAGCGUUCUUGUGUAGGAUAGGUGGGAGGCUUUGAAGCCGGAACGCCAGUUUCGGUGGAGCCAACCUUGAAAUACCACCCUGGAACGCUCGGGAUUCUAACCUCGGACCCUUAUCGGGUUCAGGGACCGUGCAUGGUGGGUAGUUUGACUGGGGCGGUCUCCUCCCAAAGCGUAACGGAGGAGCGCGAAGGUACCCUCAGCGCGGUCGGAAAUCGCGCAGUGCGUGCAAAGGCAAAAGGGUGCUUGACUGCGAGACGGACAGGUCGAGCAGGUGCGAAAGCAGGUCUUAGUGAUCCGGUGGUUCCUGAUGGAAGGGCCAUCGCUCAACGGAUAAAAGGUACUCCGGGGAUAACAGGCUGAUACCGCCCAAGAGUCCAUAUCGACGGCGGUGUUUGGCACCUCGAUGUCGGCUCAUCACAUCCUGGGGCUGUAGUCGGUCCCAAGGGUAUGGCUGUUCGCCAUUUAAAGUGGUACGCGAGCUGGGUUUAGAACGUCGUGAGACAGUUCGGUCCCUAUCUGCCGUGGGCGUUGGAGUGUUGCGGGGAGCUGUUCCUAGUACGAGAGGACCGGAAUGGACAGACCUCUGGUGUACCGGUUGUUCUGCCAAGAGCAUCGCCGGGUAGCUACGUCCGGACGGGAUAACCGCUGAAAGCAUCUAAGCGGGAAGCCCCCCCCAAGAUGAGCACUCCCGAGUCCUUGAGACUCCUAAAGGUCCGUGGAAGACCACCACGUGGAUAGGCGUGGCGGUGAACGCGCGGUAACGCGUGCAGCCGACCCGU